This 717-nucleotide long non-coding RNA is filed under the name Spirodela polyrhiza (greater duckweed). RNAcentral describes it as "long non-coding RNA (SPOL_LNC002657)". The record is from RNAcentral. Lineage: Eukaryota; Viridiplantae; Streptophyta; Magnoliopsida; Alismatales; Araceae.
GUGCUUAAAAGUCAUUCAGAAGCAUUGAGUUAUCAUUUAUUUUAUUGGAACCAGCCAUAUAUUAGACUACUAAUUUAGAAAUUUUAUUCGUGACUCCAUGCGUAGUAGGUAUGGUGGGAAACAGGAACUAACGAUUCUUGAUUAAGCCCCCCAGACUUUGGUGGCUGAGGUGUGGUGGUGAACUAGUACGUACGUAUGACGUCCCAUUUUCCUAGGGUACAACCAUCCGCACGCUGCUGACGCGUGGAUGGAACCCUUUCGUCAACGGAUGUGACCCAGAUUUAACACGGUUAUCCAAAAGCUGCAUCUUUCAUGCCGGCGGUGGGCCAGAGGAGAAAGCAGAUCAUACCGGCGUCGGCGAUGAUGGGGAUGCCGGGGGCGGCGGCGGUGAUGAACCGAGCUCGCUCCGCCAUCUCCGGCGGCCUGGGCAUUUCAUCAAACACAGACGAUCAGAAGACUAGCUCAGGGUGGAGAAGAAAGGAGCCACGGGUUAUUAUCGCCGGGCCAGGAGCAUACGUGAGGAGACCGAUGUCCGGCAUGCCGAGGUGGGCGGCGGAGACGGCGUAGCCGGAGAUGAAGGCAGCGCUGAAUCCCGUCUUCUGAAUAAUCGCCGCCGAUAGCGCGUCGAAGCAGCCGGGCAUCAGCACGAUCCCGUCCCUCUCGAUCGCCUUGUGGAACCUCGUCUUCCUGCUCCGGCCGUUCUCCCCGCUCCGGCCG